RNAcentral lists this ribosomal RNA (460 nucleotides) under uncultured bacterium. RNAcentral describes it as "partial 16S ribosomal RNA". It matches the Rfam family "Bacterial small subunit ribosomal RNA", at positions 338 to 795 of the family's 1533-position model. The record is from RNAcentral.
CCUACGGGAGGCAGCAGUGAGGAAUAUUGGUCAAUGGACGAGAGUCUGAACCAGCCAAGUAGCGUGAAGGAUGACUGCCCUAUGGGUUGUAAACUUCUUUUAUAAAGGAAUAAAACGAGGCACGUGUGCCUUUUUGCAUGUACUUUAUGAAUAAGGAUCGGCUAACUCCGUGCCAGCAGCCGCGGUAAUACGGAGGAUCCGAGCGUUAUCCGGAUUUAUUGGGUUUAAAGGGAGCGUAGAUGGGUUGUUAAGUCAGUUGUGAAAGUUUGCGGCUCAACCGUAAAAUUGCAAUUGAUACUGGCAGUCGUGAGUACAGUUGAGGUAGGCGGAAUUCGUGGUGGAGCGGUGAAAUGCUUAGAUAUCACGAAGAACCCCGAUUGCGAAGACAGCUUACUAAACUGUGACUGACAUUGAUGCUCGAAAGUGUGGGUAUCAAACAGGAUUAGAUACCCCUGUAGUC